This 448-nucleotide ribosomal RNA is filed under the name uncultured bacterium. Its description in RNAcentral is "bacterial SSU rRNA". It matches the Rfam family "Bacterial small subunit ribosomal RNA", at positions 330 to 794 of the family's 1533-position model. The record is from RNAcentral.
CCCAGACUCCUACGGGAGGCAGCAGUGGGGGAUAUUGCACAAUGGGGGAAACCCUGAUGCAGCGACGCCGCGUGGGUGAAGAAGUAUUUCGGUAUGUAAAGCCCUAUCAGCAGGGAAGAAAGAAGACGGUACCUGACUAAGAAGCCCCGGCCAACUACGUGCCAGCAGCCGCGGUAAUACGUAGGGGGCGAGCGUUAUCCGGAUUCACUGGGUGUAAAGGGAGCGUAGACGGCCGUGCAAGCCAGGAGUGAAAGCCCGGGGCCCAACCCCGGGACUGCUCUUGGAACUGUGCGGCUGGAGUGCGGGAGGGGCAGGCGGAAUUCCUGGUGUAGCGGUGAAAUGCGUAGAUAUCAGGAGGAACACCGGCGGCGAAGGCGGCCUGCUGGACCGCGACUGACGUUGAGGCUCGAAAGCGUGGGGAGCGAACGGGAUUAGAUACCCGAGUAAC